AGACUCUGAAAAUCUCCAUUCUGUUUCUGAUUUCUUCAGCGAUAAUACCCAUAUCUGCUUUUAGACUCUGGGUGUUAUACAGUUCUUUACCUGACCAACCACAGGUUUGUGUGUGGUGAACCACCUUUGCUUAGGCUAUCGCCUACUUGGACCGAACGUUACCUACACAAAGCGAUGGGAAACACCUACUUGAAUUACUUGCAAGAUAAUUCUUAGAUGUUACAUAUCCAGCUACUCCAUUCGCUUAAUAUUCGGUGAAAAUGUCUACAAAAUAUUGCAAUUCAUAUUCUAAGGCAUAUAUCUUCUGAAAAUGAUUUAUCGUGUGACUGAUCAAUAAGACCUCAAGUUUUUCAAAUAAAAUAUAUUACUGCUCAUCGUGCAUUUGGAAGGCUUAAUCUGUUUGAUAUCCGCCAUCAGACCACAAAAAGGGAUUGCCAACCUAUGUAACUAUCGAUCCAUGAAGGAUUCUUAAACUUUGUAGCAUAAAAUCAGGACUACACGUUUCCCGGCGUGAAUUACUUAAUCGCCUAGCCAGAUUUUGUGAUCAAGCGUGGCAUUUUGGAGAGGAGUUUGUGGAUUUCAAUCUUAUCAAUUUAAUCCUCGAAAUACAUACGGAAUAUCAAGCGUCGGUAGGUUUUAUUCAUUUUCACUUCGGCUACACUACAUCUAGUAAUUCCUCCGAUGUAUUUCCAGACGGAGAAUUUUUGCUGCCGCAGGCAACAUUACACCGUGAUGAUACUUGUUAUAUGUCUGCUAAUUGGCCCCAUCUUUCUAAUGGCUGCCCCUUCACAGGACCUUUCAGACGAUGAAGAUUUUGAGGGCAGUUCAGACUGGAAGAAUGUGCACGAGCGAGGACAUGAUGUAGGGAAUCCUAGGUACGGUCACGUGAUUGCUGAUGCGCCUCCGAGGAUUAUGGGUAACCUCGAUAGACUUCCGGUGGA
This is a long non-coding RNA of Lytechinus variegatus (green sea urchin), 941 nucleotides long. RefSeq lists it as uncharacterized. The transcript has 2 exons. NCBI's taxonomy places the organism in Eukaryota, Metazoa, Echinodermata, Echinoidea, Temnopleuroida, Toxopneustidae. The record is from RefSeq and is a predicted model, not a curated record.